GUGGGGAAUUGUUCGCAAUGGGCGCAAGCCUGACGACGCAACGCCGCGUGGAGGAUGAAGGUCUUCGGAUUGUAAACUCCUGUUGAUCGGGACGAAAAGCCUCGGCCUAAUACGCCGGGGACUGACGGUACCGGUUGAGGAAGCCACGGCUAACUCUGUGCCAGCAGCCGCGGUAAUACAGAGGUGGCAAGCGUUGUUCGGAAUUACUGGGCGUAAAGGGCGCGUAGGCGGCCUUCUAAGUCGGACGUGAAAGCCCCAGGCUUAACCUGGGAACUGCGUCCGAUACUGGAAGGCUUGGAUUCGGGAGAGGGAUGUGGAAUUCCAGGUGUAGCGGUGAAAUGCGUAGAUAUCUGGAGGAACACCGGUGGCGAAGGCGGCAUCCUGGACCGAGAUCGACGCUGAGGCGCGAAAGCUAGGGGAGCAAACGGGAUUAGAAACCCCAGUAGUCC
RNAcentral lists this ribosomal RNA (449 nucleotides) under uncultured bacterium. RNAcentral describes it as "bacterial SSU rRNA". It matches the Rfam family "Bacterial small subunit ribosomal RNA", at positions 354 to 796 of the family's 1533-position model. The record is from RNAcentral.